Molecule: ribosomal RNA, 445 nt
Filed under: uncultured soil bacterium
Lineage: Bacteria
Description: bacterial SSU rRNA
Rfam family: Bacterial small subunit ribosomal RNA
Source: RNAcentral
AGAGCGAACGCUGGCGGCAGGCCUAACACAUGCAAGUCGAACGAACUCUUCGGAGUUAGUGGCGGACGGGUGAGUAACACGUGGGAACGUGCCUUUUGGUUCGGAAUAACUCAGGGAAACUUGUGCUAAUACCGAAUGUGCCCUUCGGGGGAAAGAUUUAUCGCCAUUAGAGCGGCCCGCGUCUGAUUAGCUAGUUGGUGAGGUAAAGGCUCACCAAGGCGACGAUCAGUAGCUGGUCUGAGAGGAUGAUCAGCCACAUUGGGACUGAGACACGGCCCAAACUCCUACGGGAGGCAGCAGUGGGGAAUCUUGCGCAAUGGGCAAAGCCUGACGCAGCCAUGCCGCGUGAAUGAUGAAGGUCUUAGGAUUGUAAAAUUCUUUCACCGGGACGAUAAUGACGGUACCCGGAGAAGAAGCCCCGGACUAACUUCGUGCCAGCAGCCGC